GAUGAACGCUAGCUACAGGCUUAACACAUGCAAGUCGAGGGGAAACGAUAUUGGAAGCUUGCUUCCGAUAGGCGUCGACCGGCGCACGGGUGAGUAACGCGUAUCCAACCUGCCCACCACUUGGGGAUAACCUUGCGAAAGUAAGACUAAUACCCAAUGAUAUCUCAAGAAGACAUCUGAAUGAGAUUAAAGAUUUAUCGGUGAUGGAUGGGGAUGCGUCUGAUUAGCUUGUUGGCGGGGUAACGGCCCACCAAGGCGACGAUCAGUAGGGGUUGUGAGAGGAAGGGCCCCCACAUUGGAACUGAGACACGGUCCAAACUCCGACGGGAGGCAGCAGUGAGGAAUAUUGGUCAAUGGGCGAGAGCCUGAACCAGCCAAGUAGCGUGCAGGAUGACGGCCCUAUGGGUUGUAAACUGCUUUUAUAAGGGAAUAAAGUGAGCCACGUGAGGCUUUUUGCAUGUACCUUAUGAAUAAGGACCGGCUAAUUCCGUGACAGCAGCCGCAGUAA
RNAcentral lists this ribosomal RNA (508 nucleotides) under uncultured bacterium. Its description in RNAcentral is "partial 16S ribosomal RNA". It matches the Rfam family "Bacterial small subunit ribosomal RNA", at positions 28 to 523 of the family's 1533-position model. The record is from RNAcentral.